AUACGGAGGGGGUUAGCGUUGUUCGGAAUUACUGGGCGUAAAGCGUACGUAGGCGGAUUGGAAAGUAUGGGGUGAAAUCCCAGGGCUCAACCCUGGAACUGCCUCAUAAACUCCCAGUCUAGAGUUCGAGAGAGGUGAGUGGAAUUCCGAGUGUAGAGGUGAAAUUCGUAGAUAUUCGGAGGAACACCAGUGGCGAAGGCGGCUCACUGGCUCGAUACUGACGCUGAGGUACGAAAGUGUGGGGAGCAAACAGGAUUAGAAACCCUUGUAGUCC
This 274-nucleotide ribosomal RNA is filed under the name uncultured bacterium. Its description in RNAcentral is "partial 16S ribosomal RNA". It matches the Rfam family "Bacterial small subunit ribosomal RNA", at positions 523 to 796 of the family's 1533-position model. The record is from RNAcentral.